CAGGUCUCAUUGUCACAAAUCUCUCCCAUGCUUGCCAUUGUGUGCUGCUUCAGCAGGGCAUUGGUGGGCCAGUCUGGUUUGCUAAAUAUCUGCUACCUUCCAGUUUCAGCAAGGUCUCCAGCCCUGGGAGCUCCCACCUCCAGGGACAUCAUCAGGUUGCAACCAAGAGCCAGGAGAUCGUGGUGCUACCCCGCUCAAAAGCCUGGCUGCAGCGGCCUCUGGGCAGCCAGGAUGGCUCAGUCGAUGAGGCUGUGGCAUCAGCAGAGGAUGCUCCUAGGGCCGGGCACAGGCAGCAGCAGUGGUCACCCAGGGGGUCCCCCGGGAUAUGGGACAACAGCUGCCAUGAAGACGACUACGGGUUCGUGGCCAACAAGAGGAGGUCCUACUCCUUCACCUCAGCCACCUACCAGAAGAUUGCCCCAGUGGCUGUGCCCAAGGAGUCUCUGGAAGCCGGGAGCAGCUACUCAGUCACACUCUACAUUGGCGAGCAAGCACCGGCCGUGCCCCGGGCACGCUGCCACUCCUUUGUGGCCCAGCCGGGGAGCCCACGGGACACACUGGGAGAGAAGACCCCUGGCCCCCCUCGUCCCAAGAACAAAUCUGUCUUCAAGAAGUUCUUCGGAAAGAAGGAGUGAGCCCCAGCCAAGUGGAAGAAAAGCCCUAGCCUGUCCUUUAUUCUCCUCUUGGGUGCCAUCCUGGCAUGGUCUCUACACCCAGCACCAGCUCACCGCUCGCUGCCUCCCUGGGGGGUGAGAGGCUGCAGCAAGGGCUCUGCUCCAGCUGGCCCUGGGGCUGCACCGCACCCCAGCCGCUGCAGCCCCCGGCCUCAGCCUGGCGCUGAGCACCCCUCCUGCUGCCCUCCAGGUGCUGUCCCUGGGUGCUGCUGGCUCCCUAGGUGUCCUGCCGACAUGCAGCACAAGCAGGGGUGGGGUGGAAUGGUUGUUUUUAUUAAAAAACAGUAAGAUGC
Molecule: long non-coding RNA, 967 nt
Filed under: Athene cunicularia (burrowing owl)
Lineage: Eukaryota; Metazoa; Chordata; Aves; Strigiformes; Strigidae
Description: lncRNA (ENSACUG00000013826.1)
Source: RNAcentral